GACGAACGCUGGCGGCGUGCUUAACACAUGCAAGUCGAACGGUGAAGCGAGUGCUUUUUCUCGUGGACGAGUGGCGAACGGGUGAGUAACACGUGAGUAACCUGCCCAUCACUUUGGGAUAACCACUGGAAACGGGGUCUAAUACUGGAUACGACCACCCGCUGCAUGGUGGGGGGUUGGAAGGUUUGGUGGGUGGGGGAUGGAUCCGCGGCCUAUCGGCUUGUUGUGGGGGUAAUGGCUCACCAAGGCUACGUGGGGUUGCCGGCCUGAGGGGGUGACCGGCCACAUUGGGACUGAGGCACGGCCCAGACUCCUACGGGAGGCAGCAGUGGGGAAUAGUGCACAAUGGGCGAAAGCAUGAUGCAGCGGCGCCGCGUGCGGGAUGACGGCCGUCGGGUUGUAAACCGCUUUCGGCUGGGAAGAAGCGAGAGUGACGGUACCGGGAGAAGAAGCACCGGCUAACUACGUG
This 469-nucleotide ribosomal RNA is filed under the name uncultured bacterium. RNAcentral's name for it is "partial 16S ribosomal RNA". It matches the Rfam family "Bacterial small subunit ribosomal RNA", at positions 28 to 507 of the family's 1533-position model. The record is from RNAcentral.